GGGAAUGUAGUUAAUAAUAACAUUUAAUUUGCAAUUAAAAAGUAUCUAUAAGAUCUUUCUCA
Molecule: transfer RNA, 62 nt
Filed under: Tuxedo cruralis
Lineage: Eukaryota; Metazoa; Arthropoda; Insecta; Hemiptera; Miridae
Description: tRNA-Ala
Rfam family: tRNA
About the family: Transfer RNA (tRNA) molecules are approximately 80 nucleotides in length. Their secondary structure includes four short double-helical elements and three loops (D, anti-codon, and T loops).
Source: RNAcentral